CCUACGGGUGGCAGCAGUGAGGAAUAUUGGUCAAUGGCCGGAAGGCUGAACCAGCCAUGCCGCGUGAAGGUCAGUGCCCUAUGGGCGUUAAACUUCUUUUGUGCGGGAGCAAUAAUGGUCACGUGUGGCCAGACGAGAGUACCGUACGAAUAAGCAUCGGCUAACUCCGUGCCAGCAGCCGCGGUAAUACGGGGGAUGCAAGCGUUAUCCGGGUUUAUUGGGGUUAAAGGGUUCGGAGGCUGUGAGGUAAGUCAGCGGGGAAAUGCCCCCGCUUAACGGGGUGAAGUGCCAUUGAUACUGCCUGGCUGGAAUGCGGAUGCGGUAGGAGGAAUGUGUGGUGUAGCGGUGAAAUGCUU
This 356-nucleotide ribosomal RNA is filed under the name uncultured bacterium. RNAcentral describes it as "partial 16S ribosomal RNA". It matches the Rfam family "Bacterial small subunit ribosomal RNA", at positions 338 to 691 of the family's 1533-position model. The record is from RNAcentral.